GGGAACAGUUACCAUGGAAACAUGUGGGCAGGCCAUUAUGCAUCCAUGCCCACCCCCCUCUAUUCCCUGGUGCCCCUUUCACUCUCAAGCAGUCAGUCUGCCCUCAGGGUCUGAUUUCUACAGGGGAUUUGACCUGUAGGUCCCUAUUCAAGGUGGAGGAUGAGAUCCUCAUGAGAUCCCUGGGGAGGCAGGGGCAGGGCAUCCAGGAGAGCACGUAUGACUGAGAAGACUAGAAGUUUCCCGAGACAGAACAAAAUAAGAAUCAUUUUUGUUUUUACACUUACAAGGCUCAGAAAGAAAAGACAAUGAAACUCAGCAAAAAGAAAGAAGAGAAAGUCAGAAAAGAGGAAAGAUCCCCUAGCAUUCAUGGAGCAGAGUGCUCAUCUUUCAUCAAGUUCUCUUCCUCAGGAUAGAUAGAUAUACACAUGCCAAAAGUUAUGUAUACCUAGCUAUCAAUAGAUUUAUAUGUUUUUUUUUUCUCUUUAGAGGUCAUGCAAAAAAAAAUUACCCCUCCUCCCUCCCCCCCCAAAUCCCCAAAUAACCCCAGACACGCAGCUCCAUAGUUAUAACAAGAUGACUGGUAAAGGAGAGUGAAGAGGCCCCAGGACACAAGAGGGUAGGAGGUGGGACAGGCUUUCCGUGGUCCCCUUUGCUGCCAAAUGCUGGGUCACACACGUUGUUAGGGGGCAAGCAGGACUGAUGGUCCUCUUACCCCAGAAGCUCCCAGCCCAGACUUGGCUCCAGGCAGGAAUGCCUAGUGUCCUCUAAUGGGGGGAACUUUUAUUCAGUCACUUAAAGAAUUAAGGGAAAACCCUGCCAGUCACAAGAUGGCAAUCUAGCAUCUUACAGUCAUUUUGUUGUUGAUUUUGAAAUGGGUAUCCAUUGUAGGGUUUGCCACUGAAAGAGCUUGUGUUCUAAAUCUCUUCUCCAUGGGCUCGGAGUUCUGUUCUACUCUCAAACAGGGACCACCUGAUAACCCAUCCCUCUUCCCCUUCUUUCCUCUCACUUCGCUUUAUUUAGAGGGAAAGAAAAAGAAAUUACACUUAAAUUAAAAGUGAAUUGCUAGGGGGGUGUCUGAGUGGCUUCUAAGGAUGGGGCAAAAAGGUGGCCAGUGAGGGAUGCCUCUUAGCUCAGGAUUAAAUUCAAUUGAUUUAAUCCAAUUUGUAGUUCCUUUGAGUUAAUUGAUUCCAGAUCUUCUCCCCUCCUACUCUGUCCUCAACCCUCUGGUGCCCCUGUCUUAGCAACUCUGUCCCUCCCAACCUCCAUCAUCUGAUUAUUCCAUCAAACAGCAUUAUUCCGUUAUAUAAUUUCCAUCCAUCUGUUGGGGCACCUUGCCAACUCAUUCUUCCCCAGAAGAGAACACAUACAAACUAAAUGGGAAAAUCAGGCCCAGAUAGAGGGAAAACCCCAUCUAAUGAGAGCUACACAUAGCCCCCUUUCCUAAACAUGGAAAAUUAAGGCAUUACCCUAGCCUCUUCUCUAGUUCACCAUCCAUCCAUCCAUCCAUUCAUCCAUCCAUCCAUCCAUGCAUCUGGUCAUCCAUUCAUCAUUAGGCCCUUUUAGGUUAUGUUUUCAAGUUAUCUACAAACUUCAAACUCCUUUAUGAGCUCAGUUCCAGACUGUUUCUCCCUCCAGGAAAUCUCCUUUCUCAUGAUCCAAGUAAUGUGGUCAGGGCUUACCCCUUAACCUCUAAAAAGUGUCCACCAAUUCUAUCACCCACUCACAAGAGGUACAUCAAAAUACAACAGUGCCUCAACCAGCUCAAGUGUAUGCUCAACAUUAGGAAUACAUUUGGGUUGGGAGGGGUGAAAGGAGUUAGGAAGUUUAACCUCUACCUCAUCCAGAGAUCUGCAGGUGGUUCAGGGAAAAGAAAGGAGUCUGAAGGGAUUGAAUUGCAGUUAGAGGAUGAAGGAAUUGCUGGGAUCCCUAGUGCCAAAGGAGAUUUCUGGCAAAAUAGCUUUCUCAAUUUUCUGUGAGAUAAAAUGGAAGUCUAUGUAACAAAUAUUUACAAUCAUUCCAAAGGGCCUUUAUGACUGUGCUGUAGUAAUGAAUGAAGUUUGCUGGUUGUGUGGAAAGGAGAGAGUUAAUACCUGAUCCUGAUUGCUGGCUUCCUAGGUAUACCACCUGCUUGUGCCUUGAGACUCCAAUGAACAAAAUGAACAAUAUCAUUCAAACGGUGAUACCUUCUGUCUGAACAUGAUUUUUAAUCUUUUUGGAGAUGAUAUCUAUUCCAUCCUUACCAGACUGUACUUCACUCUUCAAUUUAAAACUCCCCAGGAUGUAUGUUUUUAAUUAAAAACAUGUUGCAGUAUCUGAAAAGCACAUUUUGAAAUCAUUGCUCAAGCCCAUGUAUGAAUAUGGACAUUUUUAUGAUCAAAAGCAUUUCUGUAUAUGUGUAUGUAUGUAUGUAUGUACAUUUAUAUGCAUGUGGGUUGAUAUUAAAGUGAUCAAUAUCCCAGGAACUAACUCAAACUGAGUUUCUGUGAACACUUUGCUCAUAGAGGUGCCCGUGGCCCCUAGGAGUAGAGCCUUUGACUUACCCUGGGAGCAAAGAAUGUAGAGAUGUAGCCUAUGUAUUUGUUUUUUGUUUUGUUCAUAGAUGAUUGAAAUGAGUGUCAGGAAUAGUUCCUUCACCCCUGCUGUCAAGUUUCCAGCCUAUUGCUUUAGACUCAUUUGUUCUAAGACAUGGGGAGAGCCUUCUUGGUCAAAGGAAGCCCGGCUGGUUCAAACUUUGGGGUCUUUAAAGAAUAAUGAAAUAGGGUGCAGUAAACAACCCACCCUCAUUUCCUUUCAAACGCUAAAAGGCCAUGUGGACCUGAAGGUGGUCACUGCAGUCUCUAGUAGCCCAGAAUCACUUGGUAAUCUAGGUUCAAAGGACCUCCGUUUUGGUCCAUCCAAGGGUCAGGUUGCACUCUAGGGUGGGCAUAAGAAUCACAGACCCUUCCAGACCCUUCGUUUUACUGUAGAGUACUUCUGAGAAUCUCUGAAUCAGAGAUGAGCUAGACCAGGUUGGACUCCUCUGAGAACGGCAGAUGGCACGGCAUCCAAGGCUACUUCCUUACACCGUGUUUCUCACUCCUGGUGCUCAUAGCUCCGCAUCAAUAGCCAGGGAAGGACUGCCAUAGUUAAACUAUGCCACCUGAUGGCUUUCAACCUGUCACACCUGAGAUCCCUCUCUUUCCUUCUACACUUAACUUCUGGCCCAUACUUCAUCACUCCCACAAAACUUUCUUCAAACAGCUAUCUGUUUUCUUCUCCAGUGCAGAUGGCCACCAAAAAAUACUUCCAUUGAGUUAAGGAUGGCACUUUGCAUGGCAAGGAGGAAAACUCUCCUGCAAAACUAACCCCCCUUCUCCUAAAAAAGUCUCUGGCCUAGGCAAAAGUAGUUAUUGGAUAGAUGGACUCUCACUGGAUCAGCUAAGGGAUUGCUAUACCAAAUAGGUUGGGUAAAGGAUGGGACCAGAAUUCACCAUCAACAGUUCAAUCAGCCCACCAACUGUCCCAAGUCUGGGGCACUCAUCCCUGAGCAACUCAACAUUUUUAGUCAAAGAGAAUCAAUUCUCUCCAUUAUCAGCCAUCCCCCCACCCCCCACCCCC
Molecule: long non-coding RNA, 3597 nt
Organism: Sarcophilus harrisii (Tasmanian devil)
Lineage: Eukaryota; Metazoa; Chordata; Mammalia; Dasyuromorphia; Dasyuridae
Source: Ensembl